RNAcentral lists this long non-coding RNA (313 nucleotides) under Gossypium raimondii (Peruvian cotton). RNAcentral's name for it is "long non-coding RNA (GRAI_LNC004032)". Lineage: Eukaryota; Viridiplantae; Streptophyta; Magnoliopsida; Malvales; Malvaceae. The record is from RNAcentral.
CCGGCCUUUGGAACUACUCCUUCCACUCCGGCUUUUGGGGCUCCUUCUUCCACACCGGCAUUUGGCACUCCGUCUUCGACACCGGCGUUUGUCACUCCUUCUUCGACACCGGCCUUUGGCACUCCGUCUUCGACACCUGCGUUUGGGGCUCCGUCUUCGACACCGGCGUUUGGAACUCCGUCCUCGACACCGGCUUUUGGAACUCCAUCAACGCCGUCUUUCGCUACGGGCUUUGGCGGCUCCUCUCUUUUCUCCACCCCAUUCUCUUCUCAAACGCAACAGCAGCAACAGACUUCAUUGUUUCAGCAACCAC